UCAGAUGUCAUUCACGCCGAUGAGAAAAUGUCUGAAAAUAACACGAAGCCGAAAUUUAUAGAAAAUUCAGACGUCACUUGCUUUGUAGCCGUUGAGAGAUGCUUGAAAAUUCAAAUCUCAUGGAGUGGAUAACUAAUUGGAGUAAACCAUGGUGUUCAAACCAUGUAAACCACAGUAUUUCUCGUACGAAAUUCAUUUUAAAGGGAGGGAUGAUAUUUAUUAGUCCUGUCAUUAUUUGUGCACAGAGGGAGGCACCCGCCGGUGUCUGUGUGGAAUUUGCAUGUUUAAGAUCAUAACCCUAACCUCUGUCAGACCAAUUAAUGCUCUUUUAUUUUUUUUCUUUUGUCAGUGCUUUGUUCUGUCUUUCUGUUAGUUUUUAUUGUGUUAUCUUCCGUCGUUUCAUUAUUUCUUGUUUUUCCUUUUUUGUAAGAGUCUGUCUACAGUGUGCACACUGGUCUGUCUGUCAUGAUCUUUAUCUAUUGUUUUUUCUUUUCUUUUUUUCACAUUUUGUAUGGUAGAAGAUGAAGAAGAAAAUCAGAGGAGGUAGGGGUCAAGAAAUGGCAGCUGAUCGAGCGAAAAAUUCUUCUUCUAGCCGGUCAUGGCACUGACAAUGGAUUCACUUGUGGGACCAUUUCUCAGAGGAGGCCUUGCUAAGCUCUUCAUGACUCCUUCUGAACCUGCUCACUGGGUCAGUUUCAUGAAAGGGCUGAGGUUGCACCAGAUCGAAGGGAGAAUUAUCUCCAGCGCCUUUAGCAGGUUCAACAACAAGGACACAAUCCAGGUCUCUUGGGAGCUUUAUUGUCUCAUUUAUCAGUGGCCAACCAGAAGCAAUUUUCGUCUCAGCAACAACAAUCUGUACUUUUGUAGCAGGUUUGUUUGCUGGUUGUCGUAAAACAAAGAAGCUGCAAUCAUUGAAGUUGACAUGUUUGGUGAGGUUGACAUGAAUGAUUACAAACAGGACUUGGGUGGCAGCAUGUUGCAGCGAAAAAACUGCAGUUUGAUAAGAAGGAUCCUAAAGUGAGUCGAGGAGCUAUAUGAUUCAUCUUUUUCAUCAUGAUGUAUAAAAACAACAAGAGAUGGAAUUAGGCUUCAAUCACUUAUGUAGUUAAAUUUUGGUUAAGCAUAUUGACUUGAUAGCAUUGUAAUAUGUACAAAUAUAGUGCUUAAUAAAAAAUAUUGGAAGGGGUUAAAAACCCCUUCUAAAGACUGAAGGAAAUAGUCAUUGGCCAUGGUUAUUCUUGAGGUCAUGUUUUCUGACACCUUAAAGAAUGGUCAAUAGGUCAAGACCAUUCUUUAAGGUUUGUGUCUUUUUUCUUUUUGUAUUCUUUUUUCAGUUUAAUUUUUAUUUAAGAAUAAUUUAUAAAAUAGUGCACAAAGGAUAGUCAUAAAUAACCCUUA
Molecule: RNA transcript, 1398 nt
Organism: Cryptomeria japonica (Japanese cedar)
Lineage: Eukaryota; Viridiplantae; Streptophyta; Pinopsida; Cupressales; Cupressaceae
Exons: 5
Source: RefSeq, a predicted model, not a curated record